CUUGACGACCAUAGAACAUUGGAACCACCUGAUCCCAUCCCGAACUCAGCAGUGAAACGAUGUAUCGCCGAUGGUAGUGUGGGGUUUCC
This 89-nucleotide ribosomal RNA is filed under the name Pseudomonas syringae. RNAcentral also lists the same sequence under 1 other name. The record is from RNAcentral. Lineage: Bacteria; Pseudomonadati; Pseudomonadota; Gammaproteobacteria; Pseudomonadales; Pseudomonadaceae.